AGUGAAUGUAGUUUAUUCAAAAUUUUAGUCUGUGAACCUAAAGAUGGGGGCUAAUUACCCCCCUAUUCACCG
This 72-nucleotide transfer RNA is filed under the name Litoria freycineti (Freycinet's treefrog). Its description in RNAcentral is "tRNA-His". It matches the Rfam family "tRNA". From Rfam's summary of the family: Transfer RNA (tRNA) molecules are approximately 80 nucleotides in length. Lineage: Eukaryota; Metazoa; Chordata; Amphibia; Anura; Pelodryadidae. The record is from RNAcentral.